RNAcentral lists this ribosomal RNA (424 nucleotides) under Polystepha sp. Polsp141. Its description in RNAcentral is "partial large subunit ribosomal RNA". It matches the Rfam family "Eukaryotic large subunit ribosomal RNA", at positions 354 to 657 of the family's 3401-position model. The record is from RNAcentral. Lineage: Eukaryota; Metazoa; Arthropoda; Insecta; Diptera; Cecidomyiidae.
UGAGGGAAAGUUGAAAAGUACUCUGAAUAGAGAGUUAAAUAGUACGUGAAACCGCUUAGGGGUUAAGCCCGAUGAACCCGAAUAUCUGAUGUGAGAAAUUCAAUACUGUUCAUACAACGGAUAGUAUGCACUUUUCUCAUAGUAAGACAUUGUAAUCCAUUGAUACUAUAUCUCUUUCACAUACGGGAGAGAUGAUUUAACAUACGGACAAAAUGUAUAAGAUUAUUCUAUCAGUGAUGUGUUUACAUGUCAUAUGAAUAAGAUCGUUUUGUACCUGUUUAAAUAGUCGAUGGAUUUUAACUGAAUCAUGCUUGCAAUUCAUUUUGCGUUUCGUGUUAUCGGCCAUUCGGUUGGUAAUAGCAGAAAUGGCAUGCAUUCGAUUAACAAUGCGAUAGAUUUGGGAUACUUUCAGGACCCGUCUUGA